GAUCAUGGCUCAGGAUGAACGCUAGCUACAGGCUUAACACAUGCAAGCCGAGGGGCGUCAGUUUGGUUUGCUUGCAAACCAAAGCUGGCGACCGGCGCACGGGUGAGUAACACGUAUCCAACCUGCCUCAUACUCGGGGAUAGCCUUUCGAAAGAAAGAUUAAUAUCCGAUAGCAUAUAUUUCCCGCAUGGGUUUUAUAUUAAAGAAAUUCGGUAUGAGAUGGGGAUGCGUUCCAUUAGUUUGUUGGGGGGG
Molecule: ribosomal RNA, 252 nt
Filed under: uncultured bacterium
Lineage: Bacteria
Description: partial 16S ribosomal RNA
Rfam family: Bacterial small subunit ribosomal RNA
Source: RNAcentral